UGGUGUGCCGUUCACGAGCUACAGACGAGGUUCUAAGCAAGUGUUUUUCAUCCACGGAUAUUGGUUAACGAUACGGUUACAAUGGGAAGCAUCAAGUUUGAUAUUGAGAAAUUUGAUGGAAGAAUUAAUUUUGGCUUGUGACAAGUUCAAGUCAGGGAUAUAUUGAUUCAAUCAGGUCUACACAAGGCCCUUACGGGAAAACCAGAAGCAGGUUCUAG
Molecule: long non-coding RNA, 218 nt
Filed under: Nicotiana benthamiana
Lineage: Eukaryota; Viridiplantae; Streptophyta; Magnoliopsida; Solanales; Solanaceae
Description: long non-coding RNA (NBEN_LNC039967)
Source: RNAcentral